This 355-nucleotide long non-coding RNA is filed under the name Mytilus galloprovincialis (Mediterranean mussel). Lineage: Eukaryota; Metazoa; Mollusca; Bivalvia; Mytilida; Mytilidae. The record is from RNAcentral.
GUUCGUUUCUGUGUGUGUUACAUUUUAACGUUGCGUCGUUUGUUUUCUCUUAAUUUUCAGUGUAAAUUCACAUUGCGAUAAGACGUGUCACGGUACUUGUCUAUUCCAAAUUCAUGUAUUUGGUUUUGAUGUUAUAUUUGUUUUUCUUGUGGGAUUUUGUCUGAUGCUGGGUCCGUUUCUGUGUGUGUUUCAUUGUAGUGUUGUGUCGUUGUUUUCCUCUUAUAUUUAAUGCGUUUCCAUCAGUUUUAGUUUGUUACCCCGAUUUAGUUUUUUGUCCAUGGAUUUAUGAGUUUGAACAGCGGUAUACUACUGUUGCCUUUAUUUGGAUUACUGAAGGAUAUUGUUACAAGUCAAU